GGUUGAUUCACUAAUGGAAAGUAUUAUGAUUUAAGAUGUAACUGCUCACACAUGGUUUGUUCUCAGAUGCAGAAAUUCAUGCUUAAAUGUAAAGUCUUUCAACGUAUUUAUUUCACCCUUUGGUAGUAACUAUACUUUAUUAUAAGUUAAGUACAUUGACAUAUCUUACUUGCGUUUUUUUACCUAGUCAGUAAAGAAAUGAAGUGAAAACUAAGUGCAUCUUAAGAUAAACCUUUUGUGAGUCAGGACUUGAUCGUGUUUACAUGUGUCCAAGCUUUUAGCCUAAAACUAAAAGGUUUAGGAAAAUUGUUAUAAUUACAUGUCACUGAACAGUUUUGAUAAGAUAUUUUUCCUGACCGCUCGUCUUUGUUGGAGGUUUAGAUGAUAGAAAACUUUAGUUUUGCACUUAAAGCUCAUGAUGUAACAGACCUCAUGGGAAUGAAGGCUUUAGUUUGUACUAGGGUUCACACCAGAGAUGCGUACAGUACCUCCAGUUAAGGAGAGCUGGGAUGAAACCAGCCACUGGCAAUGUACGGACUGCGUCAUUCAGCUGAAUCCUUUUAGAGCACACAUCUUAGUAUUAAUUAAUUUCCUUUAGGCUUUGCUUUUCUAUUUUGCUCUACAGGAAACGUGACAAUCUAAGCUUGAAACUAAAAUGACCUGGUGUGGAGCCUGCCCCCAUGUGGAGGUGGUCACGGUGACACUAAGGAUGAAGGAGACUCCUGGAGGUUUGGGGAGAUGCGGGUGUUUCAGUGGUGAGGACAAAGCUUUGCUGCCUGAGGACGAUGGACCACUCCAUGAACUGGGUUGAUGACCAUAGCUUCUCCUUGCACCAGUUGCCAGCUGGUUCAGCAUCCUACCUGUAGCAACCUAUGGAUUCAACGUUAGCUGGAGGCUCCCAGAGCAAAAAUGCUGUUUAUCCAUGUUAAUGUGUUUUAGCAAUGAAAGUGUGGUUAGUAAUUAACUAUAUGACCCUGACACUUAUAUAUUUAAACAAACCUUUCAGAUUCUUGUACUUAAAUAAAUUCCUUCUAUUUGUAGACUUUUCUUUGCUC
RNAcentral lists this long non-coding RNA (1055 nucleotides) under Betta splendens (Siamese fighting fish). Its description in RNAcentral is "lncRNA (ENSBSLG00000019912.1)". Lineage: Eukaryota; Metazoa; Chordata; Actinopteri; Anabantiformes; Osphronemidae. The record is from RNAcentral.